ACCUUCAGGGCAGGGCGAAAUUCCCGACCGGCGGUAUUGCUUCUCAAGCUAAGCCCGCGAGCCCCUACAAAGGGGUUGAUCUGGUGAGAUUCCAGAGCCGACAGUAUAGUCUGGAUGGGAGAAGGUU
This 127-nucleotide non-coding RNA is filed under the name marine sediment metagenome. RNAcentral describes it as "FMN riboswitch aptamer (RFN element)". It matches the Rfam family "FMN riboswitch aptamer (RFN element)". Rfam says of the family: The RFN element is a highly conserved domain that is found frequently in the 5'-untranslated regions of prokaryotic mRNAs that encode for flavin mononucleotide (FMN) biosynthesis and transport proteins. This element is a metabolite-dependent riboswitch that directly binds FMN in the absence of proteins. In Bacillus subtilis, the riboswitch most likely controls gene expression by causing premature transcription termination within the 5' untranslated region of the ribDEAHT operon and precluding access to the ribosome-binding site of ypaA mRNA. The record is from RNAcentral. RNAcentral also lists the same sequence under 1 other name.